Molecule: non-coding RNA, 399 nt
Organism: Ornithorhynchus anatinus (platypus)
Lineage: Eukaryota; Metazoa; Chordata; Mammalia; Monotremata; Ornithorhynchidae
Source: the annotation of a RefSeq genome assembly
AUGGGCCCUGGGCCAGUGUGGUUGGUGGCUGUUUGUGUCCUGGGAGCAGGCCCUGCAGACGCCAGAGUCAUCCAGACCCCUGGACACCUGGUCAUCGGCCGGGGACAGAACUUGACGUUGAGCUGUGAACACGACCGGAGCCACCCUGUCAUGUAUUGGUAUCGGCAGGUCCCAGGGCAGGGACCAAACCUCAUGUUUUAUUUUCUUUAUCAGAAGCUUUCAGAAAACAUGACUGUCUCGCCCCGCUUCCAACCACACUGUCUGAACGCCGGCAGCUGCACCCUGGACAUCAGUGCUGCAAAGCUGGGCGACUCCUCCGUGUUCAUGUGUGCCAGCGGAGCAGACACAGCCCUGCAGCCACUCCUCCUCUCGGCGCACAAACCCUCCCCGCCCUGCUAA